GAUGAACGCUGGCGGCGUGCCUAUACAUGCAAGUCGAGCGAACGGACGAGAAGCUUGCUUCUCUGAUGUUAGCGGCGGACGGGUGAGUAACACGUGGAUAACCUACCUAUAAGACUGAGAUAACUUCGGGAAACCGGAGCUAAUACCGGAUAAUAUUUUGAACCGCAUGGUUCAAAAGUGAAAGACGGUCUUGCUGUCACUUAUAGAUGGAUCCGCGCUGCAUUAGCUAGUUGGUAAGGUAACGGCUUACCAAGGCAACGAUGCAUAGCCGACCUGAGAGGGUGAUCGGCCACACUGGAACUGAGACACGGUCCAGACUCCUACGGGAGGCAGCAGUAGGGAAUCUUCCGCAAUGGGCGAAAGCCUGACGGAGCAACGCCGCGUGAGUGAUGAAGGUCUUCGGAUCGUAAAACUCUGUUAUUAGGGAAGAACAUAUGUGUAAGUAACUGUGCACAUCUUGACGGUACCUAAUCAGAAAGCCACGGCUAACUACGUG
This 496-nucleotide ribosomal RNA is filed under the name uncultured bacterium. RNAcentral's name for it is "partial 16S ribosomal RNA". It matches the Rfam family "Bacterial small subunit ribosomal RNA", at positions 28 to 507 of the family's 1533-position model. The record is from RNAcentral.